UACGGAGGAUGCAAGCGUUAUCCGGAUUUAUUGGGUUUAAAGGGUGCGCAGGUUGUUUGAUAAGUCAGUGGUGAAAGUCUGUCGCUUAACGGUAGGAUUGCCAUUGAUACUGUUAGACUUGAAUAUGGUUGAGGUAGGCGGAAUGUGUAGUGUAGCGGUGAAAUGCAUAGAUAUUACACAGAACACCGAUUGCGAAGGCAGCUUACUAAUCCAUCAUUGACGCUGAGGCACGAAAGCGUGGGGAUCAAACAGGAUUA
Molecule: ribosomal RNA, 257 nt
Filed under: uncultured prokaryote
Description: partial 16S ribosomal RNA
Rfam family: Bacterial small subunit ribosomal RNA
Source: RNAcentral